Molecule: ribosomal RNA, 449 nt
Filed under: uncultured bacterium
Lineage: Bacteria
Description: partial 16S ribosomal RNA
Rfam family: Bacterial small subunit ribosomal RNA
Source: RNAcentral
AACGAACGCUGGCGGCAGGCUUAACACAUGCAAGUCGAACGAGAUCUUCGGAUCUAGUGGCAGACGGGUGAGGAACACGUGGGAACAUCCCUUUCAGUUCGGAAUAACGUUGGGAAACUAACGCUAAUACCGGAUACGUCCUUCGGGAGAAAGAUUUAUCGCUGAAAGAUUGGCCCGCGUCUGAUUAGCUAGUUGGUGAGGUAACGGCUCACCAAGGCUACGAUCAGUAGCUGAUCUGAGAGGAUGAUCAGCCACAUUGGGACUGAGACACGGCCCAAACUCCUACGGGAGGCAGCAGAGGGGAAUAUUGGACAAUGGGCGCAAGCUUGAUCCAGCCAUGCCGCGUGAGUGAUGACGGCCUUCGGGUUGUAAAGCUCUUUUGUCCGGGAAGAUAAUGACUGUACCGGAAGAAUAAGCCCCGGCAAACUUCGUGCCAGCCGCCGCCGUAA